GCCACCUUAGCUCAGCGGUAGAGCAGCUGUUUUGUAAACAGCAGGUCGUCGGUUCGAAACCGACAGGUGGCUCCA
This 75-nucleotide transfer RNA is filed under the name Candidatus Saccharimonadota bacterium. RNAcentral's name for it is "tRNA-Thr". It matches the Rfam family "tRNA". From Rfam's summary of the family: Transfer RNA (tRNA) molecules are approximately 80 nucleotides in length. RNAcentral also lists the same sequence under 2 other names. Lineage: Bacteria; Candidatus Saccharimonadota. The record is from RNAcentral.